UGGGGAAUUUUGGACAAUGGGGGAAACCCUUAUCCAGCCAUCCCGCGUGUGCGAUGAAGGCCUUCGGGUUGUAAAGCACUUUUGGCAGGAAAGAAACGUCAUGGGUUAAUACCCCGUGAAACUGACGGUACCUGCAGAAUAAGCACCGGCUAACUACGUGCCAGCAGCCGCGGUAAUACGUAGGGUGCAAGCGUUAAUCGGAAUUACUGGGCGUAAAGCGUGCGCAGGCGGUUCGGAAAGAAAGAUGUGAAAUCCCAGAGCUCAACUUUGGAACUGCAUUUUUAACUACCGGGCUAGAGUGUGGCAGAGGGAGGUGGAAUUCCGCGUGUAGCAGUGAAAUGCGUAGAUAUGCGGAGGAACACCGAUGGCGAAGGCAGCCUCCUGGGAUAACACUGACGCUCAUGCACGAAAGCGUGGGGAGCAAACAGG
Molecule: ribosomal RNA, 429 nt
Filed under: Acidobacteriota bacterium
Lineage: Bacteria; Pseudomonadati; Acidobacteriota
Description: Acidobacteria bacterium partial 16S ribosomal RNA
Rfam family: Bacterial small subunit ribosomal RNA
Source: RNAcentral